UGGGGAAUAUUGCACAAUGGGCGAAAGCCUGGUGCAGCAACGCCGCGUGAGUGAUGAAGGCCUUCGGGUUGUAAAGCUCUGUCUUUUGGGACGAUAAUGACGGUACCAAAGGAGGAAGCCACGGCUAACUACGUGCCAGUAGCCGCGGUAAUACGUAGGUGGCAAGCGUUGUCCGGAUUUACUGGGCGUAAAGGAUGCGUAGGCGGAUUUUUAAGUGAGAUGUGAAAACCCUAAGCUUAACUUGGGGACUGCAUUUCAUACUGGAAAUCUAGAGUGCGGGAGAGGAGAAUGGAAUUCCUAGUGUAGCGGUGAAAUGCGUAGAGAUUAGGAAGAACACCAGUGGCGAAGGCGAUUCUCUGGACCGUAACUGACGCUGAGGCAUGAAAGCGUGGGUAGCAAACAGGAUUAGAUACCCUGAUAGUCCACGCCGUAAACGAUGAGUACUAGGUGUAGGAGGUAUCGACCCCUUCUGUGCCGCAGUUAACACAAUAAGUACUCCGCCUGGGAAGUACGAUCGCAAGAUUAAAACUUAAAUGAAUUGACGGGGUCAUAGCUG
This 556-nucleotide ribosomal RNA is filed under the name uncultured bacterium. RNAcentral's name for it is "partial 16S ribosomal RNA". It matches the Rfam family "Bacterial small subunit ribosomal RNA", at positions 355 to 932 of the family's 1533-position model. The record is from RNAcentral.